GACGAACGCUGGCGGCGUGCCUAAUACAUGUAAGUUGAGCGAUGAAGAUUGGUGCUUGCACCCAUUUGAAGAGCAGCGAACGGGUGAGUAACGCGUGGGGAAUCUGCCUUUGAGCGGGGGACAACAUUUGGAAACGAAUGCUAAUACCGCAUAAUAACUUUAAACAUAAGUUUUAAGUUUGAAAGAUGCAAUUGCAUCACUCAAAGAUGAUCCCGCGUUGUAUUAGCUAGUUGGUGAGGUAAAGGCUCACCAAGGCGAUGAUACAUAGCCGACCUGAGAGGGUGAUCGGCCACAUUGGGACUGAGACACGGCCCAAACUCCUACGGGAGGCAGCAGUAGGGAAUCUUCGGCAAUGGACGAAAGUCUGACCGAGCAACGCCGCGUGAGUGAAGAAGGUUUUCGGAUCGUAAAACUCUGUUGGUAGAGAAGAACGUUGGUGAGAGUGGAAAGCUCAUCAAGUGACGGUAACUACCCAGAAAGGGACGGCUAACUACGUG
This 497-nucleotide ribosomal RNA is filed under the name uncultured bacterium. RNAcentral describes it as "partial 16S ribosomal RNA". It matches the Rfam family "Bacterial small subunit ribosomal RNA", at positions 28 to 507 of the family's 1533-position model. The record is from RNAcentral.